This 232-nucleotide ribosomal RNA is filed under the name uncultured bacterium. RNAcentral describes it as "partial 16S ribosomal RNA". It matches the Rfam family "Bacterial small subunit ribosomal RNA", at positions 333 to 561 of the family's 1533-position model. The record is from RNAcentral.
AGUGCCCUACGGGGCGCAGCAGUGAGGAAUAUUGGUCAAUGGGCGGGAGCCUGAACCAGCCAAGUCGCGUGAGGGAUGACGGUCCUACGGAUUGUAAACCUCUUUUGCCGGGGAGCAGGCGUGCGUUCGUGAACGCGCGUCGAGAGUACCCGGAGAAAAAGCAUCGGCUAACUCCGUGCCAGCAGCCGCGGUAAUACGGAGGAUGCGCGCGUUAUCCGGAUUUAUUGGGUUU